RNAcentral lists this ribosomal RNA (254 nucleotides) under uncultured bacterium. RNAcentral describes it as "partial 16S ribosomal RNA". It matches the Rfam family "Bacterial small subunit ribosomal RNA", at positions 335 to 603 of the family's 1533-position model. The record is from RNAcentral.
AUUCCUACGGGGGGCAGCAGUGGGGAAUAUUGGGCAAUGGGCGCAAGCCUGACCCAGCAACGCCGCGUGAAGGAAGAAGGCUUUCGGGUUGUAAACUUCUUUUAUCAGGGACGAAGCAAGUGACGGUACCUGAUGAAUAAGCCACGGCUAACUACGUGCCAGCAGCCGCGGUAAUACGUAGGUGGCAAGCGUUAUCCGGAUUUACUGGGUGUAAAGGGCGCGUAGGCGGGAGUGCAAGUCAGAUGUGAAAACUA